GCAUUGAAACACUGGUUCUUGUACAAUCACUGAAGUUAAGCAACACUGAGCCUGGUCAGUACCUAGAUGGGUGACCACUUGGAAAUACCAGGUGAUGUAAG
Acanthosepion pharaonis is the source of this 101-nucleotide non-coding RNA. The record is from the annotation of a GenBank genome assembly. Lineage: Eukaryota; Metazoa; Mollusca; Cephalopoda; Sepiida; Sepiidae.